Felis catus (domestic cat) is the source of this 85-nucleotide non-coding RNA. The record is from Rfam. Lineage: Eukaryota; Metazoa; Chordata; Mammalia; Carnivora; Felidae.
GCCUGGGUGGCUCAGUUGGUUAAGUGUCUGACUUCGGCUCAGGUCAUGAUCUCAUGGUUCAUGGGUUUGAGCCCCAUGUUGGGCU